RNAcentral lists this ribosomal RNA (315 nucleotides) under uncultured archaeon. RNAcentral's name for it is "bacterial SSU rRNA". It matches the Rfam family "Archaeal small subunit ribosomal RNA", at positions 1029 to 1343 of the family's 1478-position model. The record is from RNAcentral.
UUUAGUCAGGCAACGAGCGAGACCCACGUCCACAGUUGCCAGCAUAUUCUCCGGAAUGAUGGGUACACUGUGGAGACCGCCGCUGCUAAAGCGGAGGAAGGAGUGGGCAACGGUAGGUCAGUAUGCCCCGAAUCUCCCGGGCUACACGCGGGCUACAAUGGUUGGUACAAUGGGCAUCUACCCCGAAAGGGGAAGGUAAUCUCUUAAAACCAAUCGUAGUUCGGAUUGAGGGCUGCAACUCGCCCUCAUGAAGCUGGAAUCCGUAGUAAUCGCGUACCAACAGAACGCGGUGAAUACGUCCCUGCUCCUUGCACA